Molecule: ribosomal RNA, 884 nt
Filed under: uncultured bacterium
Lineage: Bacteria
Description: bacterial SSU rRNA
Rfam family: Bacterial small subunit ribosomal RNA
Source: RNAcentral
AUUGAACGCUGGCGGAAUGCUUUACACAUGCAAGUCGAGCGGCAGCGCGGGGGCAACCCUGGCGGCGAGCGGCGAACGGGUGAGUAACACAUCGGAACGUACCCUGUCGUGGGGGAUAGCCCGGCGAAAGCCGGAUUAAUACCGCAUACGACCUGAGGGUGAAAGCGGGGGAUUCUUGGGCAACCGAGGACCUCGCGCGAUAGGAGCGGCCGAUGGCGGAUUAGCUAGUUGGUGGGGUAAAGGCCUACCAAGGCGACGAUCCGUAGCGGGUCUGAGAGGACGGCCCGCCACACUGGAACUGAGACACGGUCCAGACUCCUACGGGAGGCAGCAGUGGGGAAUUUUGGACAAUGGGGGCAACCCUGAUCCAGCCAUUCCGCGUGAGUGAAGAAGGCCUUCGGGUUGUAAAGCUCUUUCGGCAGGAACGAAACGGUGGAGGCUAAUACCUUUCAUCAAUGACGGUACCUGAAGAAGAAGCACCGGCUAACUACGUGCCAGCAGCCGCGGUAAUACGUAGGGUGCGAGCGUUAAUCGGAAUUACUGGGCGUAAAGCGUGCGCAGGCGGCUCACUAAGACAGAUGUGAAAUCCCCGGGCUUAACCUGGGAACUGCGUUUGUGACUGGUGGGCUGGAGUGUGGCAGAGGGGGGUGGAAUUCCACGUGUAGCAGUGAAAUGCGUAGAGAUGUGGAGGAACACCGAUGGCGAAGGCAGCCCCCUGGGUUGACACUGACGCUCAUGCACGAAAGCGUGGGGAGCAAACAGGAUUAGAUACCCUGGUAGUCCACGCCCUAAACGAUGCCAACUAGGUGUUGGAGAAGGAGACUUCUUUAGUACCGUAGCUAACGCGUGAAGUUGGCCGCCUGGGGAGUACGGUCGCAAGAUUA